This 440-nucleotide ribosomal RNA is filed under the name uncultured bacterium. Its description in RNAcentral is "bacterial SSU rRNA". It matches the Rfam family "Bacterial small subunit ribosomal RNA", at positions 338 to 792 of the family's 1533-position model. The record is from RNAcentral.
CCUACGGGUGGCAGCAGUGGGGAAUAUUGGACAAUGGACCAAAAGUCUGAUCCAGCAAUUCUGUGUGCACGAUGACGUUUUUCGGAAUGUAAAGUGCUUUCAGUUGGGAAGAAAAAAAUGACGGUACCAACAGAAGAAGUGACGGCUAAAUACGUGCCAGCAGCCGCGGUAAUACGUAUGUCACAAGCGUUAUCCGGAUUUAUUGGGCGUAAAGCGCGUCUAGGUGGUUAUGUAAGUCUGAUGUGAAAAUGCAGGGCUCAACUCUGUAUUGCGUUGGAAACUGCAUGACUAGAGUACUGGAGAGGUAAGCGGAACUACAAGUGUAGAGGUGAAAUUCGUAGAUAUUUGUAGGAAUGCCGAUGGGGAAGCCAGCUUACUGGACAGAUACUGACGCUAAAGCGCGAAAGCGUGGGUAGCAAACAGGAUUAGAUACCCCAGUA